Molecule: non-coding RNA, 48 nt
Organism: Schistosoma rodhaini
Lineage: Eukaryota; Metazoa; Platyhelminthes; Trematoda; Strigeidida; Schistosomatidae
Source: Rfam
AUUCAACUGACGAGUCCCAAAUAGGACGAAAUGUGCGUCAAACUGGAU